RNAcentral lists this ribosomal RNA (465 nucleotides) under uncultured bacterium. Its description in RNAcentral is "partial 16S ribosomal RNA". It matches the Rfam family "Bacterial small subunit ribosomal RNA", at positions 28 to 507 of the family's 1533-position model. The record is from RNAcentral.
GACGAACGCUGGCGGCGUGCUUAACACAUGCAAGUCGUACGGUAAGGCCCUUUCGGGGGUACUCGAGUGGCGAACGGGUGCGUAACACGUGAGUAACCUGCCCACAACUUUGGGAUAACGCUAGGAAACUGGUGCUAAUACUGGAUAUGUGCUCCUGCUGCAUGGUGGGGGUUGGAAAGCUCCGGCGGUUGUGGAUGGACUCGCGGCCUAUCAGCUUGUUGGUGGGGUAGUGGCCUACCAAGGCGGCGACGGGUAGCCGGCCUGAGAGGGUGACCGGCCACAUUGGGACUGAGAGACGGCCCAGACUCCUACGGGAGGCAGCAGUGGGGAAUAUUGCACAAUGGGCGCAAGCCUGAUGCAGCAACGCCGCGUGCGGGAUGACGGCCUUCGGGUUGUAAACCGCUUUCAGCAGGGACGAAGCUUUUUGUGACGGUACCUGCAGAAGAAGCACCGGCUAACUACGUG